Molecule: transfer RNA, 91 nt
Filed under: Candidatus Acetothermia bacterium
Lineage: Bacteria; Candidatus Bipolaricaulota
Description: tRNA-Ser
Rfam family: tRNA
About the family: Transfer RNA (tRNA) molecules are approximately 80 nucleotides in length. Their secondary structure includes four short double-helical elements and three loops (D, anti-codon, and T loops). Further hydrogen bonds mediate the characteristic L-shaped molecular structure. tRNAs have two regions of fundamental functional importance: the anti-codon, which is responsible for specific mRNA codon recognition, and the 3' end, to which the tRNAs corresponding amino acid is attached (by aminoacyl-tRNA synthetases). tRNAs cope with the degeneracy of the genetic code in two manners: having more than one tRNA (with a specific anti-codon) for a particular amino acid; and 'wobble' base-pairing, i.e. permitting non-standard base-pairing at the 3rd anti-codon position.
Source: RNAcentral
GGAGAGGUGCUUGGAGCGGCCGAACAGGCAUGUCUGGAAAGCAUGUAUCGGUUAACCCCGAUCGUGGGUUCGAAUCCCACCCUCUCCGCCA